CACGGGGGGAGCAAGCGUUGUUCGGAAUCACUGGGCGGAAAGGGCGUGUAGGCGGUCAGGUAAGUGGGACGUGAAAUGCCUCGGCUCACCCGAGGAGCGGCGUCCCAUACUGCUUGGCUUGAGUACGGGAGAGGAUGUGGGAAUUCCUGGUGUAGCGGUGAAAUGCGUAGAUAUCAGGAGGAACACCGGUGGCGAAGGCGCACAUCUGGCCCGAUACUGACGCUGAGGCGCGAAAGCUAGGGGAGCAAACGGG
Molecule: ribosomal RNA, 253 nt
Filed under: uncultured bacterium
Lineage: Bacteria
Description: partial 16S ribosomal RNA
Rfam family: Bacterial small subunit ribosomal RNA
Source: RNAcentral